AUUGAACGCUGGCGGCAUGCUUUACACAUGCAAGUCGAACGGUAACAGGCCUUCGGGUGCUGACGAGUGGCGAACGGGUGAGUAAUGCAUCGGAACGUGCCCAGAGGUGGGGGAUAACGCAGCGAAAGCUGUGCUAAUACCGCAUGUGAUCUGAGGAUGAAAGCGGGGGACCAAGCAGCAAUGUUUGGCCUCGCGCCUCUGGAGCGGCCGAUGUCAGAUUAGGUAGUUGGUGGGGUAAAGGCCUACCAAGCCGACGAUCCGUAGCUGGUCUGAGAGGACGACCAGCCACACUGGGACUGAGACACGGCCCAGACUCCUACGGGAGGCAGCAGUGGGGAAUUUUGGACAAUGGGCGCAAGCCUGAUCCAGCAAUGCCGCGUGCGGGAAGAAGGCCUUCGGGUUGUAAACCGCUUUUGUACGGAACGAAAAGGCUCUGGCUAAUACCUGGGGCUGAUGACGGUACCGUAAGAAUAAGCACCGGCUAACUACGUG
Molecule: ribosomal RNA, 492 nt
Filed under: uncultured bacterium
Lineage: Bacteria
Description: partial 16S ribosomal RNA
Rfam family: Bacterial small subunit ribosomal RNA
Source: RNAcentral